UACGGAGGGGACUAGCGUUGUUCGGAAUUACUGGGCGUAAAGCGCGCGUAGGCGGAUUUGCAAGUCGGGGGUGAAAGCCCGAGGCUCAACCUCGGAAUUGCCCUCGAUACUGCAAAUCUCGAGUCCGAGAGAGGUGAGUGGAAUUCCCAGUGUAGCGGUGAAAUGCGUAGAUAUUGGGAGGAACACCGGUGGCGAAGGCGGCUCUCUGGACCGGUACUGACGCUCAGGCACGAAAGCAUGGGGAGCAAAAGGG
RNAcentral lists this ribosomal RNA (253 nucleotides) under uncultured bacterium. RNAcentral's name for it is "partial 16S ribosomal RNA". It matches the Rfam family "Bacterial small subunit ribosomal RNA", at positions 524 to 776 of the family's 1533-position model. The record is from RNAcentral.